RNAcentral lists this long non-coding RNA (815 nucleotides) under Felis catus (domestic cat). RNAcentral describes it as "lncRNA (ENSFCAG00000053023.1)". Lineage: Eukaryota; Metazoa; Chordata; Mammalia; Carnivora; Felidae. The record is from RNAcentral.
GAAGCUGGACUGAAAGAAUGGGAGCAGGUGGAAGGGGAGAAGCAGCUGUCAGCCACAGAGGAGAAAGUGAAAUUAGCUGCAGAAGAGCUUUGGAACUACAAGGCGCUGUGACGUUUUCAAAAAGGCUAAACCGUUUGGUGUCCAGUGGAGGCCUGGGUGUGGUAACUCUUAGUGAAACUGAUUCAUCUCGACCUUCAAGACUGGAAGUCAUCCAAAGACAGAGGCUUCCAGAGGAAUUCAGGAGGCACAAACCAAUGGCAAGAGGACCUGAUAGGGAGAUCCCUUCAUGGAGAGUCUAUGCAAAUCGGAAUAAACCUCCAUCCAUUUUUUGGCCUCUAUCAAACGCAGAACCUGGUGCAGCUUCUGUGAGGAACAAGAAUUCUGUCCCUACUAUGGACACAGAGAAGGUCAAGGGAGAUGAGGUGACCAUUUUCAGUUGUAACUCUCUCUCUGGAACCUUUUGUCUCUUUAUACAGCACUCUCUCCUGAUCUUGUCUCUAGCUUGUGUGUUCUGAGAUAUAUCUAUGGUGUUAUCUACUUUACAAAGAGUAAAACUCUUUCCCAAGAGCCUACAGGCCUCUCUGUUGUUAGCUUGUUUGUCAUCUUUGGUGGUGCCUCCAGCAGCCAAAAGUGUUUAGAGGCUGAGGACCACAGGGCAGUCACUGUGUGUUUGUGGAAAUAACAUGAGGAGGAUGGCAUCUCACUCCACACUUACAUCUCCUGGCCUGGCUCACUUUUUCCAGACCUCCUUUCAUGGGAAUAUUCCUGAAAACUGAAACAGUAUUAUUGUUAUUUUACUCUUUUUUGUACAGAGU